AACGCGAAGAACCUUACCUACCCUUGACAUCCUAAGAAUCCUGCAGAGAUGCGGGAGUGCCGAAAGGAAUUUAGAGACAGGUGCUGCAUGGCUGUCGUCAGCUCGUGUUGUGAGAUGUUGGGUUAAGUCCCGUAACGAGCGCAACCCUUAUCCUUAGUUGCCAACAUGUAAAGGUGGGGACUCUAAGGAGACUGCUGGUGAAGAACCGGAGGAAGGUGGGGACGACGUCAAGUCAUCAUGGCCUUUAUGGGUAGGGCCACACACGUGCUACAAUGGGUUGUACAGAGGGGAGCGAACCUGCGAAGGGGAGCGAAUCUCGCAAAACAACUCGUAGUCCGGAUUGGAGUCUGCAACUCGACUCCAUGAAGUUGGAAUCGCUAGUAAUCGCGAAUCAGAAUGUCGCGGUGAAUACGUUCCCGGGCCUUGUACACACCGGACACGC
This 442-nucleotide ribosomal RNA is filed under the name uncultured bacterium. RNAcentral describes it as "bacterial SSU rRNA". It matches the Rfam family "Bacterial small subunit ribosomal RNA", at positions 958 to 1402 of the family's 1533-position model. The record is from RNAcentral.